This is a long non-coding RNA of Talpa occidentalis (Iberian mole), 352 nucleotides long. RefSeq lists it as uncharacterized. The record is from RefSeq and is a predicted model, not a curated record. NCBI's taxonomy places the organism in Eukaryota, Metazoa, Chordata, Mammalia, Eulipotyphla, Talpidae. The transcript has 4 exons.
CUUUCUGCUGACCUGAGCCAGUAAAUUAUCUCACGGUGAAUUCCUUCUUAUUUAUCCUGUUGAGAUUCUUGGACUCUUGGAAUGAGAAGGUUCGAAGUCAAGAUGCCCUGACACAGCCAGGUAAACAGCAUUGCCAGAAAGGUGACACCUAAGUGGGCUUAAGAACAUACAGACGGACCAGAGCGUAAACCACCUGCCACAGUGAGGAAAUGUUGCCAAAGUCAAGUUCACUGGGAUACUUUUCGAAUCACGGACUCAACUUCUGAGCUCUUCUGUUCCCCUUAAGCGCCACUUUCCGUACUACCUCGCAGGGAUUUAAUGAGUGCAUUUUCUGAGGAUUCUUUUUUUUUUU